CCCUCGGAAAACAGAGGCUAAUCCCGAAAUACGGCUCGCCGUCUGGAGUGACGCGAGCUCGAAACGCUUUCGCGCCAGAGGAUGUGGCUGCGGCUGAUUAGGUAGACGGUGGGGUAACGGCCCACCGUGCCGAUAAUCGGUACGGGUCAUGAGAGUGAGAGCCCGGAGACGGUAUCUGAGACAAGAUACCGGGCCUUACGGGGCGCAGCAGGCGCGAAACCUUUACACUGCACGACAGUGCGAUAAGGGGACUCCAAGUGCGAGGGCAUACAGUCCUCGCUUUUUCCUACCGUAAGGUGGUAGGCGAAUAAGAGCUGGGCAAGACCGGUGCCAGCCGCCGCGGUAAUACCGGCAGCUCGAGUGAUGACCGCUAUUAUUGGGCCUAAAGCGUCCGUAGCCGGCCGGGUAAGUCCAUCGGGAAAUCCGCACGCCUAACGUGCGGGCGUCCGGUGGAAACUGCCUGGCUUGGGACCGGAAGACCAGAGGGGUACGUCCGGGGUAGGAGUGAAAUCCCGUAAUCCUGGACGGACCACCGGUGGCGAAAGCGCCUCUGGAAGACGGAUCCGACGGUGAGGGACGAAAGCUCGGGUCACGAACCGGAUUAGAUACCCGGGUAGUCCGAGCCGUAAACGAUGUCUGCUAGGUGUGCCACAAGCUACGAGCUUGUGGUGUGCCGUAGGGAAGCCGUGAAGCAGACCGCCUGGGAAGUACGUCCGCAAGGAUGAAACUUAA
This 732-nucleotide ribosomal RNA is filed under the name uncultured archaeon. RNAcentral describes it as "bacterial SSU rRNA". It matches the Rfam family "Archaeal small subunit ribosomal RNA", at positions 129 to 859 of the family's 1478-position model. The record is from RNAcentral.